Non-coding RNA from Paramuricea clavata, 505 nucleotides. The record is from the annotation of a GenBank genome assembly. Lineage: Eukaryota; Metazoa; Cnidaria; Anthozoa; Malacalcyonacea; Plexauridae.
GGUUUUACUAAAUCUUUUCCUGUGCAAUUAUUACUAGCAUUGGAGACAAGGAUAAUAGUUUGUUUGAAAGAGAAAAGAACAGACUUUGAAGUAAGCCUAAAAGCGUUUAACUAGAAAUAGUAUUUCGAAAGUUAUUAAGCACAAAAGAUGAAUUGCGUUUAUUUUGAUACACCCUGUAUAAAAGAAGUACUGUAAGUUGUCUUGGUCGUAUUAUCUCAUCAAACGGACAUUGCCCAGAUCGUCCCAGUUAUCAAGCCAUUGACGCACCGAGAAACAUUCACCCAAAGACGGUUGGCGACGUACGUAAGUUACUAGGACUUCUGGGAUAUUACAGACAAUAUAUUCCGAAUUUCUCAAGAAUUGCUAAAUGCAUGUUUGACUAUUAACAGUCUCCACCAAAUGAAAGGAUGGAAACGAAAGGUAGCCCAAGUUCAACCACCAAAGUCCAAUGGGAAUAGCACCAUCAAAAAACAUUAAACUUGCUAUUAAGCUGUCCAGUAAAACC